RNAcentral lists this ribosomal RNA (289 nucleotides) under Listeria monocytogenes. RNAcentral's name for it is "partial 23S ribosomal RNA". It matches the Rfam family "Bacterial large subunit ribosomal RNA", at positions 2639 to 2925 of the family's 2925-position model. The record is from RNAcentral. Lineage: Bacteria; Bacillati; Bacillota; Bacilli; Caryophanales; Listeriaceae.
UAUCCGUCGCGGGCGCAGGAAAUUUGAGAGGAGCUGUCCUUAGUACGAGAGGACCGGGAUGGACACACCGCUGGUGUACCAGUUGUUCCGCCAGGAGCAUCGCUGGGUAGCUAUGUGUGGCAGGGAUAAACGCUGAAAGCAUCUAAGCGUGAAGCCCCCCUCAAGAUGAGAUUUCCCAUUUCUUCGGAAAGUAAGAUCCCUGAAAGAUGAUCAGGUAGAUAGGUUUGGAGUGGAAGUGUAGCGAUACAUGGAGCGGACAAAUACUAAUCGAUCGAGGACUUAACCAAAA